GCGUUGUCCGGAUUUACUGGGUGUAAAGGGUGCGUAGGCGGCUUUGCAAGUCAGAUGUGAAAUCUAUGGGCUCAACCCAUAAACUGCAUUUGAAACUGUAGAGCUUGAGUGAAGUAGAGGCAGGCGGAAUUCCCCGUGUAGCGGUGAAAUGCGUAGAGAUGGGGAGGAACACCAGUGGCGAAGGCGGCCUGCUGGGCUUUAACUGACGCUGAGGCACGAAAGCGUG
This 226-nucleotide ribosomal RNA is filed under the name uncultured bacterium. RNAcentral's name for it is "partial 16S ribosomal RNA". It matches the Rfam family "Bacterial small subunit ribosomal RNA", at positions 538 to 763 of the family's 1533-position model. The record is from RNAcentral.